Molecule: transfer RNA, 90 nt
Filed under: bacterium
Lineage: Bacteria
Description: tRNA-Ser
Rfam family: tRNA
About the family: Transfer RNA (tRNA) molecules are approximately 80 nucleotides in length.
Source: RNAcentral
GGAGAGGUGACCGAGAGGCUGAAGGUGAUCGCCUGCUAAGCGAUUGUACGCCUACAAAGUGUACCGUGGGUUCGAAUCCCACCCUCUCCG